This 433-nucleotide ribosomal RNA is filed under the name uncultured bacterium. Its description in RNAcentral is "partial 16S ribosomal RNA". It matches the Rfam family "Bacterial small subunit ribosomal RNA", at positions 29 to 507 of the family's 1533-position model. The record is from RNAcentral.
AACGAACGCUGGCGGCAGGCCUAACACAUGCAAGUCGAGCGGACCCUUCGGGGUUAGCGGCGGACGGGUGAGUAACGCGUGGGAAUAUGCCCUUCUCUACGGAAUAGUCCUGGGAAACUGGGGGUAAUACCGUAUACGCCCUUUGGGGGAAAGAUUUAUCGGGGAAGGAUUAGCCCGCGUUGGAUUAGGUAGUUGGUGGGGUAAUGGCCUACCAAGCCGACGAUCCAUAGCUGGUUUGAGAGGAUGAUCAGCCACACUGGGACUGAGACACGGCCCAGACUCCUACGGGAGGCAGCAGUGGGGAAUCUUAGACAAUGGGGGCAACCCUGAUCUAGCCAUGCCGCGUGAGUGAUGAAGGCCUUAGGGUUGUAAAGCUCUUUCAGCUGGGAAGAUAAUGACGGUACCAGCAGAGGAAGCCCCGGCUAACUCCGUG